UACAGAGGGGGCAAGCGUUGUUCGGAAUUACUGGGCGUAAAGGGCGCGUAGGUGGCCUUCUAAGUCGAACGUGAAAUCCCUGGGCUCAACCCAGGAACUGCGUCCGAUACUGGAAGGCUUGAAUCCGGGAGAGGGAUGCGGAAUUCCAGGUGUAGCGGUGAAAUGCGUAGAUAUCUGGAGGAACACCGGUGGCGAAGGCGGCAUCCUGGACCAAUAUUGACGCUGAGGAGCGAAAGCCAGGGGAGCAAACGGG
This 253-nucleotide ribosomal RNA is filed under the name uncultured bacterium. RNAcentral's name for it is "partial 16S ribosomal RNA". It matches the Rfam family "Bacterial small subunit ribosomal RNA", at positions 524 to 776 of the family's 1533-position model. The record is from RNAcentral.